This 495-nucleotide ribosomal RNA is filed under the name uncultured bacterium. Its description in RNAcentral is "partial 16S ribosomal RNA". It matches the Rfam family "Bacterial small subunit ribosomal RNA", at positions 28 to 507 of the family's 1533-position model. The record is from RNAcentral.
GAUGAACGCUGGCGGCGUGCCUAAUACAUGCAAGUAGAACGCUUAAGGAGGAGCUUGCUCUUCUUGAUGAGUUGCGAACGUGUGAGUAACGCGUAGGUAACCUGCCUGGUAGCGGGGGAUAACUAUUGGAAACGAUAGCUAAUACCGCAUGACAGCAGUUAUUGCAUGAUAACUGUUUAAAAGGGGCAACUGCUCCACUACCAGAUGGACCUGCGUUGUAUUAGCUAGUUGGUGAGGUAACGGCUCACCAAGGCGACGAUACAUAGCCGACCUUGGAUGGUGAUCCGGCAAAAUGGGACUGAGAAAAGGGCCAGACUCCUAAGGGAGGCAGCAGUAGGGAAUCUUUGGACAUGGACGGAAGUCUGAACGAGCAAAGGCGGGGGAGUGAAGAAGGUUCUCGGAUUGUAAAGGUAGGUUGUAAGGGAAGAAAGAGUGUGAGAGUAGAAAGUUCACACUGUGACGGUACCUUAACAGAAAGCGACGGCUAACUACGUG